Sorex araneus (European shrew) is the source of this 161-nucleotide small nuclear RNA. Its record names the gene U1. It matches the Rfam family "U1 spliceosomal RNA". From Rfam's summary of the family: U1 is a small nuclear RNA (snRNA) component of the spliceosome (involved in pre-mRNA splicing). Its 5' end forms complementary base pairs with the 5' splice junction, thus defining the 5' donor site of an intron. There are significant differences in sequence and secondary structure between metazoan and yeast U1 snRNAs, the latter being much longer (568 nucleotides as compared to 164 nucleotides in human). NCBI's taxonomy places the organism in Eukaryota, Metazoa, Chordata, Mammalia, Eulipotyphla, Soricidae. The record is from Ensembl.
AGACUUACCUGGAAAGGAAGAAAACAGGAUCAUAAAGGUGGGUUUUCUAGGUCAAGGCUUAUGCGUUAUACUCCAAAGGUGCUAACCCUGCAGUUUUCCCAAAUGUGGGAAACUCGAAUGAAUAAUUUGUGAUAGUAGGGGACUACAUUCACGGUCUCUUC